AGCUCCAAUAGCGUAUAUUAAAGUUGUUGCAGUUAAAAAGCUCGUAGUUGAACUUGUGGCCUGGAUGGCUCGGUCUGACGCUUAUGCGUGAGUACCUGAGCCAUCCGACCAUCCUUGGGUGGAACCUGUGUGGCAUUAAGUUGUCGUGUAGGGGAUGCCCAUCUUUUACUGUGAAAAAAUUAGAGUGUUCAAAGCAGGCUUAUGCCUUUGAAUAUAUUAGCAUGGAAUAAUGAUAUAGGACUUUGGUACUAUUUUGUUGGUUUGUGCACUAAAGUAAUGAUUAAUAGGGACAGUUGGGGAUAUUAGUAUUUUUAGGUCAGAGGUGAAAUUCUUGGAUUCUUUAAAGACUAACUACUGCGAAAGCAUUUAUCAAGGAUGUUUUCA
Molecule: ribosomal RNA, 384 nt
Filed under: uncultured eukaryote
Lineage: Eukaryota
Description: SSU rRNA
Rfam family: Eukaryotic small subunit ribosomal RNA
Source: RNAcentral